CGGGGGCAUCAGUAUUCAAUUGUCAGAGGUGAAAUUCUUGGAUUUAUUGAAGACUAACUACUGCGAAAGCAUUUGCCAAGGAUGUUUUCAUUAAUCAGUGAACGAAAGUUAGGGGAUCGAAGACGAUCAGAUACCGUCGUAGUCUUAACCGUAAACUAUGCCGACUAGGGAUCGGGCGAUGUUCUUUUUCUGACUCGCUCGGCACCUUACGAGAAAUCAAAGUUUUUGGGUUCUGGGGGGAGUAUGGUCGCAAGGCUGAAACUUAAAGAAAUUGACGGAAGGGCACCACCAGGCGUGGAGCCUGCGGCUUAAUUUGACUCAAC
This 323-nucleotide ribosomal RNA is filed under the name Phoma sp. 7 DA-2012. RNAcentral's name for it is "SSU rRNA". It matches the Rfam family "Eukaryotic small subunit ribosomal RNA", at positions 883 to 1204 of the family's 1831-position model. The record is from RNAcentral. Lineage: Eukaryota; Fungi; Ascomycota; Dothideomycetes; Pleosporales; Didymellaceae.